RNAcentral lists this ribosomal RNA (205 nucleotides) under uncultured bacterium. RNAcentral describes it as "partial 16S ribosomal RNA". It matches the Rfam family "Bacterial small subunit ribosomal RNA", at positions 1294 to 1500 of the family's 1533-position model. The record is from RNAcentral.
CGGAUCGCAGGCUGCAACCCGCCUGCGUGAAGUUGGAAUCGCUAGUAAUCGCGGAUCAGCAUGCCGCGGUGAAUACGUUCCCGGGCCUUGUACACACCGCCCGUCACACCAUGAGAGUCGGGAACACCCGAAGUCCGUAGCCUAACAGCAAUGGGGCGCGGCGAAGGUGGGUUCGAUAAUUGGGGUGAAGUCGUAACAAGGUAUC